This 492-nucleotide ribosomal RNA is filed under the name uncultured bacterium. RNAcentral's name for it is "bacterial SSU rRNA". It matches the Rfam family "Bacterial small subunit ribosomal RNA", at positions 36 to 518 of the family's 1533-position model. The record is from RNAcentral.
CUGGCGGCGCGUUUAAGCAUGCAAGUCGAGCGGCAAGGGCCUUCGGGCCCCUAGAGCGGCGGACGGGUGAGUAACACGUGGACAAUCUGCCCCCCGGCCCGGGAUAGCCCAGGGAAACCUGGAUUAAUACCGGAUGAGACGGGACCCGCGAUGGCGGGAUCCGGGAAAGGCGCUGCGGCGCCGCCGGGGGAUGAGUCUGCGUCCCAUUAGCUAGACGGCGGGGUAACGGCCCACCGUGGCGACGAUGGGUAGCCGGCCUGAGAGGGUGGACGGCCACAUUGGAACUGAGACACGGUCCAGACUCCUACGGGAGGCAGCAGCUAAGAAUCUUCCGCAAUGGGCGAAAGCCUGACGGAGCCGACGCCGCGUGAACGAAGAAGGCCGUGAGGUUGUAAAGUUCUUUUCGGGAGGGGGAACAACCGUGGCAGGGAAUGGCCGCGGGAUGACGUGAAUCCCGGAAUAAGCCCCGGCUAACUACGUGCCAGCCGCCGC